AGCAAUACAAUACGAGAGGAAGAUAAAACAAAUUUAACUAAAAUGAACCAUCAUAUUAGUACUACGAUUAGCAACUCAAUGAAAAAUAAUUAAAAUGGGAGCUAAGAUGAUUACAAUGAGCAAUCACCAUACCAAAGUAAGAUUGUUUAUUUGCAAUGUUCUGAAAACCACGGUCCACAUUAAUAGAGUCACCUUCAAAUUAUCACCUCAAAAAGUCCCAUAUCUAGAGCAAACUGAAUUGCUGAAUUGCUAGCCUUGCAACCAAAGCCUCACCGAUAUCAGAAUCUAGAAGGGAUUCAACACACCAAGUGUCCACUGCUGCAACAUAUCCAUCUGAAUCUCAAGUAACAACACCAAUACCCCAUAUAUUGGUAAUAGGGUCAGCAACAUCAACAUUGAAAUGAGGGUCAUCCUCUAGAGUCUAAUCCUUACAAACAAUAUCCUCCACAAGAAAUUGUUUUUCAUAAAAACAAGACUUGUUACGAGCAAGCCACAUACUAUAACAUAAAGAAAUAACAUAUAAGAUGACAUCUAAUGGUGAAUGACAAAUGACUUGUUCAAACCAAGGAUCAUAUUGAAUGGUGGCGGUCGACGAAUUCUAGAGUAAACGUAAAAUGGAGAAGGCUAUAACACACCAAUCAAUACUCUUGGAACAAUAUCAUAACCCUUAAUGCACACCGGUAAAUUAGUUUUACAUCAUACACAACUUUGUUUUCAACCAUUGGAUCAACAGGUCACAUUAUAUCACAUUUGAUUCAAUUGCAAGACUUAUCAAUCCAAUGGUGGAACACAAGUUUAUGCAUGAAGCAAAACUUGUCUCACUUAUGCACCAAAAACUUAAUCUAUACGAAAAUCUAUAUGAUUGUAUAAAACUUUUUUUUUAACCUUUUCGUUCCCCGGACAAAGAUGCUAUAAUAAUUGAGUUCAAUCAAAAGGUUAAAGAUUGGAAUAAUGAUGCUUAAAGGCUAAAGCCAAUUAAAUGUCCUAACUUGGUGAAUAACAAAUAUAAAAAACGUUAUUUUCUUAUUUUCUUUCACAUUAGUAGUUAUUCUAUAUUAAUAAACAUAGCGACUCAAAUCAACUAAAUGAUAUAAGAACAGCUAGAUUAAGACUGAGUUAAUGAAUCUAGCUCAUUCUCUUUCAGUUACUGCUUCAAACCAGAACUCAAAGAGGCAGGACAUGGAUAACAUCGUUUUCAAUUUAACAUCGUUUUCAAUUUCAAUUUUCAUAUAUCUUUUUGCUUUCUUCAAUUGAAAACAGCAAAUUGAUGAAAAACCAAAAGAGAGAGGAAAACCUUAUCGUUGACAAAUUGAUGAACUGUUAAGCUAAAACCAAGACAUGAACUGUUAACCUUGUCGUUUUCAAUUUACUGGAGCUGCUGCGGAUCGAACGCGACAGAGGGUUGAAAUGGGUACCGAGAAGGAGGUUGUUGGUUGGUGACUGGAGAUGGAUCGAUCAUGCGGCUCAGAUCGGCGACGGAGGAAUGCAUCUCAGUUUGUUUUGGACCAAGUUCGCAAGAGAGGUUGUGUGCCUUCUAGUUCCUUAAACGCAAGUUCAGUUCUGGUUUUGGUACAGAAGCAAAUGGUUCAAGUUCAGUUAUGGUUUUUUUAAACAGUUCGGUUCGGAACUCUCAUGCACCAGUUCGAUUUAAUAUUGGUUCAGUUCAUUUCAGCAAUUCGGUUUGGUUCAACAGUGUUUUUGCCCAUCCCUAAGCUUACAGAUUCGCACACAUAACUAGUUGUUUUUAGACACCUUUCAUUGUUUAACCAAAGAAGAGAGUCUCAUUUCUUUCUCUUCUCUUUCUCAUCCCAAAGAUACAGUCAACUUUGGGUAACCAUAAUUUGUUAUUUUUGUUAAAAUCAAAUUUGACUGGAUAAAAAAAAUGCGUGGAUGGCUCAAAUCCUCCCAAGCUCCCCGUGCAGUAAAUUUUAAAACAGACGACAUAG
RNAcentral lists this long non-coding RNA (1946 nucleotides) under Medicago truncatula (barrel medic). RNAcentral describes it as "long non-coding RNA (MTRU_LNC007888)". The record is from RNAcentral. Lineage: Eukaryota; Viridiplantae; Streptophyta; Magnoliopsida; Fabales; Fabaceae.